RNAcentral lists this ribosomal RNA (292 nucleotides) under uncultured bacterium. RNAcentral describes it as "partial 16S ribosomal RNA". It matches the Rfam family "Bacterial small subunit ribosomal RNA", at positions 505 to 796 of the family's 1533-position model. The record is from RNAcentral.
GUGUCAGCAGCCGCGGUAAUACGUAGGGGGCAAGCGUUGUCCGGAAUCAUUGGGCGUAAAGCGCGUGUAGGCGGCCAGGUAAGUCCGCUGUGAAAACUCGAGGCUCAACUUCGAGAUGUCGGCGGAAACUAUCUGGCUAGAGUCCGGAAGAGGAGAGUGGAAUUCCUGGUGUAGCGGUGAAAUGCGCAGAUAUCAGGAAGAACACCCGUGGCGAAGGCGGCUCUCUGGGACGGUACUGACGCUGAGACGCGAAAGCGUGGGGAGCAAACAGGAUUAGAAACCCUCGUAGUCC